Molecule: microRNA, 21 nt
Filed under: Gallus gallus (chicken)
Lineage: Eukaryota; Metazoa; Chordata; Aves; Galliformes; Phasianidae
Description: microRNA Ros-gga
Source: RNAcentral
CAGUAGCAGUGCCCUGGGAUG